UCUUUAAAAAAUAAAAAUAAAAAAAUAAAAUUGGAACAAAACAGAGAAGAUUAGUCUGGCCCCUACGCAAGGAUGACACGCAAGACUUCUCUCAAGUUACCUGUUCUG
Molecule: small nuclear RNA, 108 nt
Organism: Lutra lutra (Eurasian river otter)
Lineage: Eukaryota; Metazoa; Chordata; Mammalia; Carnivora; Mustelidae
Source: RefSeq, a predicted model, not a curated record